Molecule: ribosomal RNA, 252 nt
Filed under: Barnesiella intestinihominis YIT 11860
Lineage: Bacteria; Pseudomonadati; Bacteroidota; Bacteroidia; Bacteroidales; Barnesiellaceae
Description: partial 16S ribosomal RNA
Rfam family: Bacterial small subunit ribosomal RNA
Source: RNAcentral
UACGGAGGAUGCGAGCGUUAUCCGGAUUUAUUGGGUUUAAAGGGUGCGCAGGCGGCGCGAAAAGUCAGCGGUCAAAGUUCCGGGCUCAACCCGGUGACGCCGUUGAAACUUUCGAGCUGGAGUUCGUGCGAGGGAGGCGGAAUGCGUUGUGUAGCGGUGAAAUGCAUAGAUAUGACGCAGAACCCCGAUUGCGAAGGCAGCUUUCCAGCACGCGACUGACGCUGAGGCACGAAAGCGUGGGGAGCGAACAGG